This is a long non-coding RNA of Bombus impatiens (common eastern bumble bee), 2388 nucleotides long. RefSeq lists it as uncharacterized. The transcript has 6 exons. The record is from RefSeq and is a predicted model, not a curated record. NCBI's taxonomy places the organism in Eukaryota, Metazoa, Arthropoda, Insecta, Hymenoptera, Apidae.
CGUUUGAAUCGUUGCAAGAGGAACGUAUCAAUGCAUCGGAAUCGCGUUUCUCUUCCUUCGACGUUUCGAGAGCAUCAUAGUUACCGGUAAGCGUGACACAAAGGUUAUUACGCUGGCACGAUAACAUCCGGGCAUAGCUGACGUGUUUGACUGACGAGCUCUCAGACGUCGCUGCAGGAGCACGCCAUUUGCGGACGGCCGGCUGAUACUUAUCUGCAGGUAAUUAGAACUUGGACCUGGAAUCACGCAUACAGUUUCCGCCGUUGUUCCAGGACUGCUUUCGCACAGUAACACUGACAAUGAUAAUUAUACACUUCCCCUGUACUUUGACAUGGUUGACGUGUAGUUUAUAGAAGCUUCGAUUCUGUGUAUCUUCAAGGGAAGUUUUUUCGAUUCGUAUAGAAGUUUAUAUUGGUUAAGUAUGUCGACUUUCGGUAUUACGCUGCGAAUGUCAACAAGAUGGACAGCGUAAGUAACGCUGAUACAACUGAAAUGAAGGUUACGUACCCGGUCUAUACAAUUUUGAGAUUAUGUUGUUUUUGGUAAUUACUAAGAGUAUACAAGUGCUCUGUUGACAAACUUGAUGAUCACCGAUGUUGACAUGGAUCAAGAUUGUAUUUACAAACAUCGACUAAAGUCAUUACACAGACUGGAAGCGAAAAGUAGGAAACUGUCGAGGAAAAGGCAGCCGGACACCUUUCUCGUUAAUAGAGAACGGCGGAACUCUUUCUAUCAACUUUCUAGUCCCGUCACGGCAAUUAGCAAAGUACUUGCACGUGCGGAUAAAUCCUCUCGUGGCAGAAGCGCGACUUAUUUAUGACCAUCCGCAUCCUAAGACCCGACUAAAGGGUUAAAAGCGAUACAAUGCCACGGUCGACAUUGUUUUGAUGCGGUCAGAACUGACGAAGAUCGGUGAAAAGAUGCAUAAACCCGCACGUCGUGUGCCAGCUUUCCAAAACGGAUGCUUCGGCGUGAAACCCGCUAGUCUUUCCAUCCGCUGACAUUUUCUCUUUUUCUUCAUCCUCGUUCUCCCUUCUCGUGGCCACCGCUGAUUAUCCAUCGACUAUUUCCAACGCUGCCUCCAGCUGGUUUUCGCCGUUUUUCCUCGAGAUUCUCUUGUUCGACGCACCAACGUUGGCCUCGGUUCGACAGAAGAUGAGCAUUCUCAAGGGAAGAACAAAGAGAAGGCAAGUUUUAAAUAAUUCUACGACGAACUCAGUCUAACAGAUACUGUACAGCUUCUUGGAUUUGUUAAAAUAGAUCAGACUCGAGUUUAGAAGUUAUUAACUCUGUUUCAGAAACCUUGCAACAGUAUGUUUGUUUCAAGUAAUUGCGCAAGUAUGUGUAUAGUAAGGUGCUUGUACGGUUUUUUCUAAGGGCUGAAUUAUAUUAUAAAGAGUGGAGAGUUUCGUGUCCUGCGCGUUAAAUGAACCUGUCCAAGGCAGGAGUCGUAAGAAAUGAAGAAGUCACGGGAACAGAGGAAGAAAUCAGUCAGUGCCUGCUCCAAGCACGAUGACUUUGACUCUAUCGACUCGUCUUCCGCUUAUCUAAAUCACUUAUCGAUAUCUUGCCCUGAUCCUGCUUUUCUUCAAUAUCCGAUCGCCGUCGAUCUUAAUAAUUGCACUUCUUCGUUUCGAUUUCAACGAUCCGUUGUGUAUCAAAAAGCAUACACGAAGAAGCUGCAUUCCAAACUCUACCAAAGUAACUAGACAAAAUAAGCCAUCUACUGGUUCCACUCGUCAAACUCUCCUCUUCGUCACGUGGAACAGUCGUUGGAAAACUGCAGAACAAUAAACCACCCCUUUGAUAUUCCUCUUAUUAUCAUUUUCGCCGGCCAAUAUUGUGUCGAAAAUAAUGCUCUAGUAGGAUUGAACGAUGAUUCGACAGUGCGGCCAUCGUUCGACGACGGUGACGAAGUCAGCAAGAGUGGAAAAGACUGGCAGGCGGAACGAAGACAGAGGCAGCGGGUACUCCCCGCGGAAAUCAACGGGGCUGCGAGCGUUUCGUUGAAAUUUCCGGCGUAUUGUCGGCGUUCGGCGGCCGUGAAUGAUCCGGAGCCACCAUCAACCCCUUUGUGAAGGAAGGGAGACGGCGAGGCGGGAACGAGGGCGAACCUGAUGGGAUAUGGGGAUGGCGACGCGUCCCUGGCGACGCCGCGACGCUGACAGCGUUCGGUCCCGGCGCCCUCUUCUCCCCGACUCUAUUUCCGCGUUUUCUUUGACACACCCCGGAUUAAAUGCUUCAGCUGUUUCUACAAACUUGCGAUCCGCAAUAUUCGCGUGAUCGAAUGGCGUUGGCCGAGUGCGAUGGUUGUUACCGAGGGACAAAAUGGUUGAUGGAACGAACGAAAUUGACGUUGCUUGAAAGAAUGAGAUUGCGAAUGGUUGA